Molecule: non-coding RNA, 83 nt
Organism: Suillus spraguei
Lineage: Eukaryota; Fungi; Basidiomycota; Agaricomycetes; Boletales; Suillaceae
Source: the annotation of a GenBank genome assembly
GUCCUUGUCGAUUAGUGGUAAAUCAUCGCAUUGUGUCUCAUUCCAAUCUGGCGAAGCCGGAAGUUCGAAUCCUCCCUGGGACA